UGUUGCAGGUGUGAGCCACCACUCUCAGCUCCUGCCGCCCUCAUUGUGACCUUGGGUCCUCAGCACAUGCUCGCUCGCACUUGUGACUACAGACUUCCCAGCUCUAGAACUACAUGCUAAGUCUGUGAGCCACAUGUGGAGUCCCCACAGAGAACAAAGAGGGCAUCAGAUCAUUUGGAACUGGAGUUAAAGACAGCUGUGAGUCACCAUGGAGAUGCUGGGAAUUGAAACUAGGCCUUCUGUGAGAGCAGCCACUGGCAGAGCAGUCUCUCCACUCACAAAGUUUUAAACAUAAAUACCCUACCGAUUCACAACUGCACCUGUCGUGCAAGUGUGCAGUUCCUCAGUUCACUGUUUCUACUUCCCUUUUAAAGAAAAAACAAACAAACUUAACA
RNAcentral lists this long non-coding RNA (395 nucleotides) under Mus caroli (Ryukyu mouse). Its description in RNAcentral is "lncRNA (MGP_CAROLIEiJ_G0006257.1)". The record is from RNAcentral. Lineage: Eukaryota; Metazoa; Chordata; Mammalia; Rodentia; Muridae.